RNAcentral lists this ribosomal RNA (253 nucleotides) under uncultured bacterium. Its description in RNAcentral is "partial 16S ribosomal RNA". It matches the Rfam family "Bacterial small subunit ribosomal RNA", at positions 524 to 776 of the family's 1533-position model. The record is from RNAcentral.
UACGGAGGGUGCGAGCGUUGUCCGGAAUCAUUGGGCGUAAAGGGCGCGUAGGUGGCCCGGUCAGCGUGCGGUGAAAGCUCGGGGCUCAACCCCGAGUCGGCCGUGCGAACUGCUGGGCUGGAGCACUGUAGAGGCAGGCGGAAUUCCGGGUGUAGCGGUGAAAUGCGUAGAUAUCAAGAGGAACACCUGAGGUGAAGACGGGUUGCUGGGCUGAUACUGACGCUGAGGCGCGAAAGCUAGGGUAGCAAACGGG